CCCUGGCUCGGUCCCGGAGUCGUUCUAUACGCCGUUUGUACUUGAUAAAAUGGCGUAGAGCGACUAAGGAACCAGGACA
Molecule: non-coding RNA, 79 nt
Organism: Branchiostoma floridae (Florida lancelet)
Lineage: Eukaryota; Metazoa; Chordata; Leptocardii; Amphioxiformes; Branchiostomatidae
Source: Rfam